This 6087-nucleotide long non-coding RNA is filed under the name Sus scrofa (pig). RNAcentral describes it as "lncRNA (ENSSSCG00015078976.1)". The record is from RNAcentral. Lineage: Eukaryota; Metazoa; Chordata; Mammalia; Artiodactyla; Suidae.
CCGCGGCAUAUGGAGGUUCCCAGGCUAGGGGUCCAAUCGGAGCUGUAGCCGCCGGCCUACACCACAGCCACAGCAACGUGGGAUCUGAAUCGCGUCUGCAACCUACACCACAGCUCACAGAAGCGCUGGAUCCUUAACCCUCGGAGCAUGGCCAGGGAUUGAACCCGCAACCUCAUGGUUCCAAGUCGGAUUUGUGAACCACUGCACCAUGACAGGAACUCCUGAAAUGUAUUUUUAAAAACCAACACGCGAGAGGACAGUGUGCCCGCCCAGGAGAUAAGGCUGCUGCAGGGACAAGAGGAGAAACAAUAGUGAACGGGUCUUGCUCCUCGAUCACGUGUUUGUGUUCAAACCCCAUUUUCCCUCCCGUCUUCGCGAGAGUGGCGCCCCAACAGCCGUGCAUGCCGCUGUUGUCCCCAGGACCAGCCUCGCAUCCCUCAGGGGCAGAGAUAGGCGCUGGCUCUGCCUCAGACGCAGCUGCCGAAGCCCCAAGACAGUGGGGCCUCUGGGAAGCUCCCUCUGUCCCAUCAGGCUGGCCAAGUUCAGGACUAGCAGGAGGCAGGGCUGCAGGGCGAGAAGGAGCAUCCACUCCCCAGCAUUUCUCAACCAGGAGGGACGAGGCCGACAGCAGGUGGCUCUGAAGGAUCAGAGAAACAAAGUUUCAAAGUAUAUGCAAGCACUGCAGGAAGUGACAGUGUUAAUGAGGGCCCCCAAGUGGUGUGGGCACACUCGUGUGUGUGCGUGUUUGCACACGUGUGUGAGGAUGUGUGUGUGCCCUGGUGUACAUAUGUGCACUGCUGCCGUCCAUGUGGGCGCGUGUCCACGGGUGCGUGUGUGCCGGUGCUGGUGAGCACACAUCUGUGUGGGCACGCCCGAGCACCUGCAUGCCGGUGUUCACUAGCAUGCACAUACAUACACACACAUGCCCCGUGUUGGCGGGGGCUGAGGCCGUGAGAGCCCAGCUCUGCGGGGCAGCCCUACAGCGCCCUCCUCAUAAGGACUCUUAGAGGACCAACAGCAGGCAAGGCAGUUGGUUCAGAAUCAAAUUAUAGCCAAAUCACCCACUUGAGUUCACGCUGGCUCAGGUGCCAUGGCCCCUUUCCCGCACGUGGGCACGGCCUGCCGCACAAGCCCUCAGAUGUGGUCGGGAGAGGAGGGCUGACACCGAGGUGCAGAGGUGACACACGCACCUCCAGCCUCGGGGUUCUCUGCUCUUGGGAAAUGCAGGCUCCCACUCAGAACCAGGUGCACUGGGAGGGGACCUGGGGGUGACUUUCCCAGCAGGGGAAAGACAAGAGCCUGAGAAAGAGAGGCAGCCGGUCCAGGGGCAGAGAGUCCCUGAGGGCAGAGCUUGGCUAGGAGACCCGCAUCCUGUCUUCUGUCCCACAGAAGCUGGUGCUCAGCUGAGCCCGAAGCAGGCAGGUGCAGCCUCCUGGGUCCAGAAGAUGCUCCUUGUCCCCAGGCGCCAGCACCAGACGCGUGGGAGCAUCGAGGCUCAGCUCAAGGCUCGGGGCCAAGGCAGGACGAGCAGCCAGCCCCAGGAGUGGUCCCCGGGAGGCAGGCGUUGAGCAAGGUGGCAGAGGGCACAUGUGCCCUGCCCCCUGGGGGGGUGUCCUUAUCCUGAAGCCCCAGCUGAGGUCUCAGGAUGAGCGGGGUGAACAGGAGCUAUGGGCGCCUGGAGGGAGCUCGUCUCAGGCAACGUCAAGGUUAAAAGUCAGAUCAUUGUGCCGCCUGAAGGCUUUUCCUAUUUCCCUCCCAGGUUCCCAGAGAAGAAAUGAUUUCUCGAAUGAAGCGGGGGGGUAGGGCUGGCAGGGGUCCUGCUGGGGUCUGUUCUGUGGAUCCCUGAGCCCCUCCAUCCUCCUGGGGAUCCCUGAGCGCCCCCAUCCUGCUCCAGCUGCCUUUACAAAGAGCAUCUCAGAUUCCCAAGCCACAUACUCUCCAGCCGGAUGAUGAGUUUCCCAAAGAACUGUCAUCACACCACGUGACCUCCAGAAACUGACCCCACACCUAAGGACGAUCGAAAGUGGAGACAGGCGUCUACCCUCAGCCACCGGGCUGUGAUCCCUGCCAUCUCAGCUGCUGUGCCGGCCGCGCAGGGGAGGAGCCCCAGCCAUCAGCCCAGGAGGACGGAGUGCACAGAGCAGGUAGUGUGGGCUGUCGAGGGGGCCCCAGGGAGAAACACGAGACGUGUUUCUAGUCCAGAAAGUACUAGAACGUGCCCUUUAGGAGAGCACGUGGUCCCCAUGAUGUUUCUUUUCAAACCAGCCUACGAAACUUUACUACACGCCUACACACCUCCUCCAGGCUUCCCAGGGCAGGCCUCCCGCUGCCGCUAAGAGAUGAGGAAACGCCGUUUGCCACGGUAAGUACAGUGAAUUGAGGGCCACAGCCUGGCCUUGUCCGAUCACUCAGCUUGGCCCCCAGAGACAGAGCAGCACACAGCCACCAGCAGCAGAAGCCGAAACUCAUUCCCUAAGUGUGCCAAAACCAGGUGCAACCCACUCAGGACUGGCCUGUGAGAAUUAACUGCAAACAGGGUGUUUCAGAAAGGGACCCGGUGUUCCAGGGAGACAAGAUGUUCCGGGGAGGGACCGGGUGUUCCAGCGAGAGACCAGGUGUUCCAGGGAGGAACCAGAUGUUCCAGGGAGGGACCAGGUGUUCCAGGGGGAGACCAGGUGUUCCAGGGAGAGACCAGGUGUGCCAGGGACGGCCCAGGUGUUCCAGGGAGGGACCAGAUGUUCCAGGGAGGGACCAGAUGUUCCAGGGAGGGACGAGGUGUUUCAGGGAGAGACCAGGUGUUCCAGGGAGGAACCAGAUGUUCCAGGGAGGGACCAAGUGUUUCAGGGAGAGACCAGGUGUUCCAGGGAGAGACCAGGUGUUCCAGGGAGAGACCAGGUGUUCCAGGGACGGACCAGGUGUUUCAGGGAGAGACCAGGUGUUCCAGGGAGAGACCAGGUGUUCCAGGGAGGGACCAGGUGUUCCAGGGAGAGACCAGGUGUUCCAGGGGGAGACCAGGUGUUCCAGGGAGAGACCAGGUGUUCCAGGGAGGGACCAGGUGUUCCAGGGAGGGACCAGAUGUUCCAGGGAGGACCAGGUGUUCCAGAGGGACCAGGUGUUCUAGGGAGGGACCAGAUGUUCCAGGGAGGACCAGGUGUUUCAUGGAGGGACCAGGUGUUCCAGGGAGGGACUGGUUGUUCCGGGGAGAAACCAGGUGUUGGGGUUUGUUCGGGGGGUGUUCCACAGGAAGAUGUUCCAAGGAGGGACUGAGUUGGACUGAGGAAGGAUUCGCAUGAGGUUCUGGGCCCUAAAUGUCCUUCCUUCCUUUCCCCAUCCUAUUGGUGGUCAAGGGGAACCUUGAGGCCAGCCCCCGCGCAGCACAACGCUUCUGGUCUGUCAGCAGAGUCCACCUGCGCUGCCAUCAGCAGCAUCACCCCUGCUGUUCUAAGGAAAGAACCAGAAUAUAUCCUCAAUCCCUGGAGAAUGGCUGUUUUCAGGCAUUUGACCCAGUGCCAGAGAUAAGCAACGUGAAAAACUUUGUAAUAAUUCCCACUGGAAAAAAAAAUAAGUGCCUAUGAUCUGUGUAAUAGCUCCAUAAGUUGGAAACAGAGUAUCAAAAUCAAUAAUACUUAACCCUUGGAUAUAUUUAUAUUUAUAAAAUGGUUUAAAAUAUUUUACUUGGCAUUGUCAUUUGAGCUUCAGCACAGCCCUGAUUGAGCCUCCACAUUUACCAGACGAAGAAAUGUUUCCUCGGAGAGGUUUCGUAGUGCCACUCCCGCGGCACACCCGCUGCUGGGAGACAGGUGGUUAUUGCAAAACGAAGCCUGCUGCUCACAUGCAUCCACCGAUCACACGCCUCGAUUCACCCGAAGGAGCUGAAAACUCACGUCCUCACAAAACCACACACACACCGCAGCUUCAUCCAUCAUCACAGCAACCUGGAAGCAACCAAGGUGUCCUUCAGUGGGUGAUGGACAUGCCAACGUGGUGCAUGCAGACAGCGGACUGUUAGCGCUAAAGAGAAACACGCCGAGCCAUGAAAAGACAGGCGGGAACGAAAAAACGUAACACCGAGUGAACAUCGUACUGAGAGAAGGAAUGCGAUCUGGAAAGGGCUACAGACGGUACGAUCCCACCCAGAUGACACUCUGGGAAAACAGUCAAACGAGCCGUGGUUGCCAGGGACUGGCAGGAGGGGAGGGCGGGUGGGCACAGGGCAUUUUUAGGGCAGCGAGACUCUUCUGCAGAAACCCAUAAUGGUGGACAUGGGACACUGCACAGCUGUCAAGACCCCAGAAUGUACGAAACAAGUUCGUCCUAACGUAAACCAUGUUGGUUGAUAAUCACGUAGCAACAUUGACUCAUCAUUUGCAAAAGCCGGAGGCUGAUCAUCGGGAAACCCUUCUGGAGGCAGAGGCGGGGGGACGAGUGGUUCUGCUCAGCCUUCCUGAGAAUCUAAAACUGCUGGUAAAAAUGAAAUCCAUUCAUUAAAAAACCUGUUUUCCUCUGUUUGGCCUCCUCCAUGAAGUGCUCUCUCUGUGUGUCCCAAAUGUCUCAAACUCCCUCCAAACUAAGUCGCCGUCCAACCCCGUGUGACUGGACCACUAGGCACACUGGACCGCCCCCCAGCCUGUUGUGACAGUCAGUGCUUGAGAAGGAACAGGGUGCUAGAACCGGGCUGGGACACUGGACCCCAAGUCUCACUGAGCCUGCCUUGCCAGCAGGAGCGCCCCUCUCUCUCCCGCUGAAGCACCUGUAAUCCCCCGGGGAAGCCUUGCAGCCCUGCGGACCCUCCCGGGACACAGCCCACCACUGCCCCGAGCAUCUCGCCCUAAGCAUCUCACCCCAGCAUCUCGCCCCAGCAUCUCGCCCGGCACCUGGACUGAAGGCCCAGAGGCUGGGGUUCAAAGCACGGCCAGGAGAGUGUGCAGAGCACGUGGAAGAACGGCAGGAGUUUGCCAGUUUGCAGCAGCAGAAACACAGAUGAGGAUGGGGCUUGCGGAGGCCGGAUCAGGUGGAAUGAACAGAGACUGGCUGAUUUCUGCUGUGGGCACCCAAGCGCAGGUUCCCCACCCAGCAGCUCAACAGUCUCCACCAACGGGCAACAUAUAAACACGGUCACCAGUGUGGAGUGGGGUCUACCUGACAUCAAGAGCAAAGGCCAGAACCUCCUCGUCACCUUCCAGAGGCACUUGUCAGAGGCUUAGAGAGAUGGGCACAACAGACCUUCCAGGGGCCCCAGCAGGGUCCAGAAGGCACGCGAAAAAAGUUCACGGGGUCCCAGCAUCCUUGUGGAAUGCGCGGUGACGCCCCGAAUGUCAGGAAUACAUCGGGACCUGCCUCCAUCCACCCGGAACCCCAGCAUGUAUCCAGAUGACAAGUCCUGGGGAGGCAGGGGCCAAGUGGGGACACGUAAGUGCCUUGUGGUCACCACACAGCAGUGAUCAGAAGAGAAGGCCCCCAGGGCACGAGCUGUAGGAAGGUCCCAGAGCUGCAGGCGGGUGCUCUGCCUGCAAGCACGGAUCUGCCCAAACAGGUCGCCCUCUGCCCAACACAAGUCUGACUGGACCAUGGGAACAGUCACAGCCCCCCACCAACUGCCAGUGGGAACUCCAUCUCACAGAUCAGCGCCCCUCGAAUGGGGGCGUGGCAGGCCGCUGUGAGAGACUCUGUCACAAAGCCACACGCUCGUCACUUCACCUUCCCCUGGUCUUAUAACAGGGCGGCCUGCGUGGGGGCAAAGGGCAUCUUCAGACCCCUCAGUGAUCACUGGACCCCGGCUCUCAAGGACACCAACAGAGACCCAGAUGUCACCAUGGUCCACCAGCCACACGGGGCUCAUGGGACAGGUGCUCCAGCCGUCCUGUGGGUGUCCCCCAGUUCUGGAAUGCAUAGCUGGAACGGGGCACAGCCAGUGCGGCCCCACCUGGUUCCCUGACCUGCAGCCUGAGGCUCUCACCAAUGCCACCGACACAGUCACAGACCAACUGCAACACCAGAUCCUGGGGGGACAGCAGAGGCUGACAGGUGCCACCAUCGAGGACUGGAAAGACCCGGGCUGAUCCCACAGCCCUCCCCGUCCUGUCUGCA